This 403-nucleotide ribosomal RNA is filed under the name Verrucomicrobiota bacterium. RNAcentral's name for it is "Verrucomicrobia bacterium partial 16S ribosomal RNA". It matches the Rfam family "Bacterial small subunit ribosomal RNA", at positions 355 to 776 of the family's 1533-position model. Lineage: Bacteria; Pseudomonadati; Verrucomicrobiota. The record is from RNAcentral.
UGGGGAAUAUUGCACAAUGGGGGAAACCCUGAUGCAGCGACGCCGCGUGAGCGGAGAAGGUUUUCGAAUCGUAAAGCUCUGUCCUAUGAGAAGAUAAUGACGGUAUCAUAGGAGGAAGCCCCGGCUAAAUACGUGCCAGCAGCCGCGGUAAUACGUAUGGGGCGAGCGUUGUCCGGAAUUAUUGGGCGUAAAGGGUACGUAGGCGGUCUAUUAAGUCAGGUGUGAAAGCGUGAGGCUUAACCUCAUUAAGCACUUGAAACUGAUAGACUUGAGUGAAGGAGAGGAAAGUGGAAUUCCUAGUGUAGCGGUGAAAUGCUUAGAUAUCAUGACGAACUCCGAUUGCGAAGGCAGCUUACGGGAGCGCAACUGACGCUAAAGCUCGAAGGUGCGGGUAUCGAACAGG